AAGAAUAGCAGAACUCAAACUUUAAGAUAUUUUUCAGAAUGUUUCCUAAAUACUUCAAACCAGUCUUAAGAAACGGACACUUUCACUUUAUCAGCAAAGAAGUUUAAAGGUAAAAAAAUUCCACUUCAAAAAAAUCUGUUUUGUUGGGUUGUAUGAUAUAAGUGCAAGGUUUUGUUUCCAUAAAUAAAAGAGAAUUUUAAAAGUUUUUGUUUUAAUAUUAAGGAUAUUCGUUUAUUCUUUAUUCUAUUAACGUUCACUUUCAAAAUAUUUAGGUAAUGAACAGGAAUCGCCUAAAUAAAAAAAGGAUAUUCUCUGAACUG
RNAcentral lists this long non-coding RNA (320 nucleotides) under Bos taurus (domestic cattle). RNAcentral's name for it is "long non-coding RNA NONBTAT004885". Lineage: Eukaryota; Metazoa; Chordata; Mammalia; Artiodactyla; Bovidae. The record is from RNAcentral.